Molecule: long non-coding RNA, 1339 nt
Filed under: Bos mutus (wild yak)
Lineage: Eukaryota; Metazoa; Chordata; Mammalia; Artiodactyla; Bovidae
Description: lncRNA (ENSBMUG00000003243.1)
Source: RNAcentral
AUGCUCCUGCCCCGGCACCUGGCUCCACAUCGGGGGCUGAGAGGGCCAAGGACCCAUAUCCCAGAGAACACUGAGGGUUUCCUAUCACAGCCCCCGGACCUCCCACUUCCUGAGACCAGGCAGGUCACCCAGACCAGAGGCCUGGGAGAGGCACUGGACCCCACACCCUCAUUCUGUCUCAGGCCCUCACCUCUCAUGGGAGCUAUCCAGUCCCCUCUGGAGGCUUUCCCUGCCACCAGAUCCCAGUGCUCAGGACCAGGGCCUUGGCGUGGGAUGCCACUGUCAGAGGCCCUGAGAGGCUCCCAGGUAGGGAGCAGGUGGGGACGAGACCUCAGAUGAUGGCAGUAUGGGGCCUUUCAGCCACUCUGGCCACUUUCAGCUCCUGAGCCUCCUCACAGGCUCCUCCCACCGCCUGGACACUCCUCCUGGCUCCAAGGCCUGGCUCAGCUCUAGACCACCUAUUCAGACAAACCCUCGCUGACCCACCCCCAGCUCAGCUAGGCACCCUGUCAUUCACCCCUCACAGACCCCUGCAUCUCUGCAUAUGUCACCACCUGUAACUAUGAAAGCAAUGGGGCACUUGAUGACUGGGGCACCAGCUGUCACCCAGGAGAGGAGACCCAGUUCUUGUUCCCAGCUGAAUGGUCAGCAGUUGCUACAGAGGCAUCUACUAAAUUAACAAUGGAUUAAAGGCACAGAGACCUGACUCAGUCUUUGGAUCUAAAAGGAAGAAGUAAGUACACAAGUGUGCUUGGAAUUAAAUGAGGGCACGUGGUUCUUAGCCAGAGGCCACUUCAGGCACCUAGGAGGACAGAACCAGGAUUCAAGUUUUCUAAAGAGCCAGCCAUGCAGUCAGAUACAAUGAAGGGGAAUAUACAUACAGGCCCUUAAGAGAUGCUGAUUGUAACCCCACUAUCUCCUGCUUGACCUUUCCAGACUACAGCCAAUCACAGUGUACACUGGAGGGCUACCAGCGCUUUUCCGACGUGAGAACCUGAGCUUGUCCUGGGCGAACUGCCAUCCCUUUCCUGCUCACUUCCCUCACUCCUCCCAAAAGGCGGCUAGCAAAGGCCCUGGACCUGCUGCACACACCUCACCACCUGGCAGGCAUUCAACACGUGGCAGGUGUCCUGCCUGCCUGCCUCCCUUUCGCCAGGGUCCUGAAGCAAAGGGGAGGGAGCCAUCAAAGCCGGCUCAGAAACAAAGCAUCUUCACCAAUCAGAAAAAAAAAAGGAACAGAAAAGCAAACCGCAGGUGGUUGACGGUCUGAGGCUGGGGUUCCAGCCUCUUAUUGUGUCACAGAGGUGUGGGUCCGUGCUACCUCACCCAGCCCAAGGGC